AACGAACGCUGGCGGCAUGCCUAACACAUGCAAGUCGAACGAAGCCUUCGGGCUUAGUGGCGCACGGGUGCGUAACGCGUGGGAAUCUGCCCUUGGGUUCGGAAUAACAGUUAGAAAUGACUGCUAAUACCGAAUGAUGUCUUCGGACCAAAGAUUUAUCGCCCAAGGAUGAGCCCGCGUCGGAUUAGCUAGUUGGUGAGGUAAAGGCUCACCAAGGCGACGAUCCGUAGCUGGUCUGAGAGGAUGAUCAGCCACACUGGGACUGAGACACGGCCCAGACUCCUACGGGAGGCAGCAGUGGGGAAUAUUGGACAAUGGGCGAAAGCCUGAUCCAGCAAUGCCGCGUGAGUGAUGAAGGCCUUAGGGUUGUAAAGCUCUUUUACCCGGGAUGAUAAUGACAGUACCGGGAGAAUAAGCCCCGGCUAACUCCGUGCCAGCAGCC
Molecule: ribosomal RNA, 442 nt
Filed under: uncultured bacterium
Lineage: Bacteria
Description: bacterial SSU rRNA
Rfam family: Bacterial small subunit ribosomal RNA
Source: RNAcentral